GGUUGACCUCGGAUCAGGUAGGAAUACCCGCUGAACUUAAGCAUAUCAAUAAGCGGAGGGAA
This 62-nucleotide ribosomal RNA is filed under the name Colletotrichum scovillei. RNAcentral's name for it is "partial 28S ribosomal RNA". It matches the Rfam family "Eukaryotic large subunit ribosomal RNA", at positions 1 to 59 of the family's 3401-position model. The record is from RNAcentral. Lineage: Eukaryota; Fungi; Ascomycota; Sordariomycetes; Glomerellales; Glomerellaceae.